GUGGGAGUUGUGCAACUGAUCCUAUGACCUGAGAUCACCAUGGUAUCUUGUGCACAUGAACCCAUAUUUUGGUUUACACUCAUUCAUGACAAUAAGUUAUGUACGAGGUCUUCUGGAUAUGGUGAAUUGUGUACAAAGAUUAUGAGUAGGUCAACAAGGAAUUAAUCACUUCUAGUAAGAGAAGAUAGCAUCCUAUUUAUUCUAAUCAUAUGAUAAUUCAGGAAGCCUUUGAUCAAAGCAGAAUGAAAAUUAGAAAGAGUUUCUAAUGUUUCAUUAUUUGAAUUAUCAUUAAAAGAUUGAGAAAAAUAUGAAUAUGAAAUUGAGUUUGACAUAUAUUCAUACUCAUAUACAUAUUUGGGAUGCAGUUUGAUUAAAGGAUUGAAUUGCAUGGUAACUUGCCACUGAAGGGUAUUUUUGGUAUUUCCACCAAAUUUCAUAUUUUCGGGUAGACAUGACACGUUGCUAGACGUCAAUCUUGUUUUAUAGGUUUGAUCAAAUUAAAGAGUUUAAUUCGAUCACCAAUUAGAAAGGAUUCUAAUUGUUAAGUUCGGGUUCGGGCAGUUUGGACUUAAAUCGAUUAGAAGAGUUCUAAUCAAGUUGGGUCAACUCGCACUCACACCUAAUGCUGGCUAAGUAUGGAACCCAAUGGGUCACACACAAG
This 661-nucleotide long non-coding RNA is filed under the name Phoenix dactylifera (date palm). RNAcentral describes it as "long non-coding RNA (PDAC_LNC004862)". The record is from RNAcentral. Lineage: Eukaryota; Viridiplantae; Streptophyta; Magnoliopsida; Arecales; Arecaceae.